Molecule: ribosomal RNA, 201 nt
Filed under: uncultured bacterium
Lineage: Bacteria
Description: partial 16S ribosomal RNA
Rfam family: Bacterial small subunit ribosomal RNA
Source: RNAcentral
UACGAAGGGGGCUAGCGUUGCUCGGAAUCACUGGGCGUAAAGCGUGCGUAGGCGGUGUCUUAAGUUUGUUGUGAAAUCUCCCGGCUUAACCGGGAGGGUGCGGCGAAUACUGAGAUGCUGGAGUGCCGGAGAGGUAAGCGGAAUUCCUGGUGUAGCGGUGAAAAUGCGUAGAUAUCAGGAGGAACACCUGCGGUGUAGACG